Molecule: ribosomal RNA, 253 nt
Filed under: uncultured bacterium
Lineage: Bacteria
Description: partial 16S ribosomal RNA
Rfam family: Bacterial small subunit ribosomal RNA
Source: RNAcentral
UACGAAGGGUGCAAGCGUUACUCGGAAUUACUGGGCGUAAAGCGCGCGUAGGCGGGUUGGCAAGUCCGCUGUGAAAGCCUGAGGCUUAACCUCAGCGGGUCGGUGGAUACUGCCAGUCUUGAAGGCGUUAGGGGGAGAUGGAAUUCCCAGUGUAGCGGUGAAAUGCGUAGAUACUGGGAGGAACACCGGUGGCGAAGGCGGCUACCUGGACCGGUUCUGACGCUGAGGCGCGAAAGCGUGGGUAGCAAACAGG